Molecule: ribosomal RNA, 256 nt
Filed under: uncultured bacterium
Lineage: Bacteria
Description: partial 16S ribosomal RNA
Rfam family: Bacterial small subunit ribosomal RNA
Source: RNAcentral
UACGUAGGGUGCAAGCGUUGUCCGGAAUUAUUGGGCGUAAAGAGCUCGUAGGCGGUUUGUCGCGUCUGCUGUGAAAACUCAGGGCUUAACUCUGAGCUUGCAGUGGGUACGGGCAGACUAGAGUGCGGUAGGGGAGACUGGAAUUCCUGGUGUAGCGGUGAAAUGCGCAGAUAUCAGGAGGAACACCGGUGGGCGAAGGCGGGGUCUCUGGGCCGUAACUGACGCUGGAGGAGCGAAAGCAUGGGGAGCGAACAGG